Molecule: ribosomal RNA, 275 nt
Filed under: uncultured Devosia sp.
Lineage: Bacteria; Pseudomonadati; Pseudomonadota; Alphaproteobacteria; Hyphomicrobiales; Devosiaceae
Description: partial 16S ribosomal RNA
Rfam family: Bacterial small subunit ribosomal RNA
Source: RNAcentral
CCUACGGGUGGCUGCAGUGGGGAAUAUUGGACAAUGGGCGCAAGCCUGAUCCAGCCAUGCCGCGUGAGUGAUGAAGGCCUUAGGGUUGUAAAGCUCUUUCACCGAUGAAGAUAAUGACGGUAGUCGGAGAAGAAGCCCCGGCUAACUUCGUGCCAGCAGCCGCGGUAAUACGAAGGGGGCUAGCGUUGUUCGGAUUUACUGGGCGUAAAGCGCACGUAGGCGGUUUGUUAAGUCAGGGGUGAAAUCCCAGAGCUCAACUCUGGAACUGCCUUUGA